Molecule: transfer RNA, 69 nt
Filed under: Potos flavus (kinkajou)
Lineage: Eukaryota; Metazoa; Chordata; Mammalia; Carnivora; Procyonidae
Description: tRNA-Glu
Rfam family: tRNA
About the family: Transfer RNA (tRNA) molecules are approximately 80 nucleotides in length. Their secondary structure includes four short double-helical elements and three loops (D, anti-codon, and T loops). Further hydrogen bonds mediate the characteristic L-shaped molecular structure. tRNAs have two regions of fundamental functional importance: the anti-codon, which is responsible for specific mRNA codon recognition, and the 3' end, to which the tRNAs corresponding amino acid is attached (by aminoacyl-tRNA synthetases). tRNAs cope with the degeneracy of the genetic code in two manners: having more than one tRNA (with a specific anti-codon) for a particular amino acid; and 'wobble' base-pairing, i.e. permitting non-standard base-pairing at the 3rd anti-codon position.
Source: RNAcentral
AUUCCUAUAGUUGAAAUACAACGAUGGUUUUUCAUGUCAUCAGUUAUGGUUAAAUUCCAUAUGGGAAUA